Zea mays is the source of this 1384-nucleotide RNA transcript. It is a transcript of the gene named protein-like pseudogene, with no coding region annotated. The transcript has 5 exons. The record is from RefSeq and is a predicted model, not a curated record. Lineage: Eukaryota; Viridiplantae; Streptophyta; Magnoliopsida; Poales; Poaceae.
AGAUUAUCCGAGAAGUUAAUGGUGUAGAAAUUAGAAACGAAGUAACUUAUAUUCUCUAGGUCUCGCGCAUCGCCUAGUGCCCUAGUCCAUCGAGUAGCAACGAAGCUUGACAGCAACGGAGAAGACCAUGAACAGCAGUAGCAGUGAAGUGCAGGUGUGCGUCACCGGUGGCGCCGGGUUCAUCGGCUCCUACCUCGUCAAGAAGCUCCUCGAGAAGGGCUACACCGUCCACGCCACGCUGCGGAACACCGAGGACGAGGAGAAGACCGGGCUGCUGCGGCGGCUGGUCCCCGGCGCGGCGGAGCGUCUGCGGUUGUUCCGUUGUUCGAGGCCGACCUCUUCGACGCCGCCACCUUCGCGCCGGCGAUCGCUGGGUGCCAGUUCGUCUUCCUCGUCGCCACGCCAUACGGGCUCGAAGCCGCCGGAUCCAAGUACAAGAGCACGGCGGAAGCUGCAGUGGCCGCGGUGCGCGUGAUCCUCCGGCAGUGCGAGGAGUCCAAGACGGUGAAGCGCGUCAUCCACACCGCCUCCAUAUCGACCGCUUCGCCGCUCAAGGACAAGGAGGCGGAGGGUUCCGGCGAUGGGUACAAAGAUUUCAUCAGCGAAUCGUGUUGGACGCCGCUCAACGUUGACUACCACCUUCGCAGCGCACACUUCGACAAGUACAUACUGGCAAAGCUGCGGUCGGAGCAGGAGCUCCUGAGCUACAACGGCGGCGAGAGCCCGGCGUUCGAGGUGGUGACGCUGCCCCUGGGCCUCGUCGCGGGAGACACGGUCCUCGGCCACGCGCCGGAGACGCUGGAGCACGCCGUGUCGCCGGUGUCACGGGAAGAGCUCUCCUUCAAGUUCCUCCGGCUGCUGCAGAGCUUGCUCGGCUCCGAGCCGCUGGUGCACGUCGACGACGCCUGCGAGGCGCUCCUCUUCUGCAUGGAGCGCCCGUCCAUCGCCGGCCGCUUCUUCUGCGCCGCCGCGUACCCGAGCAUCCACGACAUCACGGACCACUACGCCAGCAAGUUCCCUCACCUCGACGUCCUCAGAGCGACGGAGGCGGUGGCUGUGGCGGUGCAACCUGAGGUGGACAGGUUGGGAGAGCUGGGGUUCAGGUACAAGUACGGGAUGGAGGAGAUACUUGAUAGCAGCGUUGCCUGCGCAGCGAGACUGGGCUCCCUUGACGCAGCCAAGCUCAACGUUCCAGAUACUGUCAGUAGCAAAUAAACUUGAAUUGUGUACUGAACCUGACUCUACUUUCAUGGAUGUUAUUAGCUCAAUCUACAUAUAUAAGGAUAUGGUGGGGGGUGUGUGAACACGGUGUCCUUGCCGUAAGAGAAAAAUCUAUCUACACGGCAUUUGUUGCAUUUGCGAGAGAGAGAGAGAGAAAUGUAUC